RNAcentral lists this ribosomal RNA (279 nucleotides) under uncultured bacterium. RNAcentral describes it as "partial 16S ribosomal RNA". It matches the Rfam family "Bacterial small subunit ribosomal RNA", at positions 506 to 784 of the family's 1533-position model. The record is from RNAcentral.
UGCCAGCCGCCGCGGUAAUACGAAGGGUGCUAGCGUUGUUCGGAAUUAUUGGGCGUAAAGCGCGUGUAGGCGGUUCGUUAAGUCUGAUGUGAAAGCCCGGGGCUCAACCCCGGAAGUGCACUUGAAACAGCAAGACUUGAAUACGGUAGAGGAGAGAGGAAUUCCUGGUGUAGAGGUGAAAUUCGUAGAUAUUGGGAAGAACACCAGUGGCGAAGGCGGCUAACUGGCUCGGUACUGACGCUGAGAUGCGAAAGCGUGGGGAGCAAACAGGAUUAGAUA